Long non-coding RNA from Hirundo rustica (Barn swallow), 5727 nucleotides. RefSeq lists it as uncharacterized. Lineage: Eukaryota; Metazoa; Chordata; Aves; Passeriformes; Hirundinidae. The record is from RefSeq and is a predicted model, not a curated record. The transcript is spliced from 3 exons.
GUGCAACUGUUCAAUAUCUUGUCUUGUGGUGUGUUCUGACCAAGACUAUUCCAGAUCAAGGCCAGAGUGUAUGGUACCUCUUCUUCGUGCUUCUCAUCAUAAGAAAAACAAGGCUCAAAGAAAUUGUCUGUGAUCUUUCAAGGGUUGUUUUAUGACUGAGAAUCGCUGAAGUGUCAAAAUCGGUAUGUCGGGGGAAAUCGAGCGAUAACAGCUGUGGCAUUCGGUCAGUAGAUGGCGCAGCUAGAAAAACUAUCCUGCGGAGACCUCGGCUUGAGCUACGAGAUCUUGGCGUUUGUGACUCCUAGCAAAGUCUUUGGCUUCCGACGCCAGUUACCUGCUCGGGUUGAUUUAAUAUUUUCUUCCGUGAAAGUGGAUGUUGAAGCCUAGUAACCUCAGCCAUAGAACUUAGAGCCAACUAAAACUUAACUGCUUUGGAAGACUCAACCCACUUUUUGACCCAGUCACACUGCCAGAGACAUGUUCAAACCAGAAAGCUUUUCAUGCUUCUUCUGCAUGGAGCUGUCUCACAGAAAUCUCCAGUUAAUGAAUGCUGUGCUGUGGGAAAGAAAAGGUAAGAAGACUUCUAGAAGCUGUGAAAGCAGGCCUCAGAAAGAGAAAGAGCGAAGAACUUAGAGCUAGCUGCAAAGCCUGAAAGAAGAAAAGACACAAUAGUACCGCGAACAAGGACAUGAAACAAUAGUUUGAGUUUUUAGGCUUGGCUAAGAUAGAUCUAAGAGUGCAGAAAAAUAUGCCUAGCAAGAUAUUAGAAGGUUUUAAGCUUAAUAAUGGAGUAUUGUGUAUUGCUAAUAGAAAGUAUAGAAGCAAGCAUUGUUCGAAGCUGGGUGUAUGUGUGCUUUUAGUGAUUGGCUAGAACAGUUGUUAGUAAGCUUUAGCAAUAUGCUAUUGGCUGGAAAACUUUUUAAAUGCCCUGUAACGGAGAUCUUUGGCUGUUGCUGGCAAGACAUGAGCUGUUGCCAUCUUUCAAUUGUCUCAACCUGUAAUGAGGCUGAUGUCACAAUAAAGCUCAAGGAAUGUAUCCCAGUUAGAAAGAGUAGAGAACUUAAAGUUAGUUGUAGUUGUAAAGCUUGAAAGAAGAAAAGAUAUAAUAGUAUAGUAAGUAAGGACAAGAAAUAAUAGUUUGACUUCUUUUGGUUUGGCUAAGAUAGACUUUAGGAGUGUAGAAAAAUAUAUUUAGUAAGGUAGUUGAAGGUUUUAAGCUUAAUAAUGGAGAAUUGUGUAUUGUUAAUAGAAAGUAUAUAAGUGAGUAUUGUUUGAAGUAGGUGUACGAGUGUUUUUAGCGAUUGGCUAGAAUAAUUGUUUGUAAGCUUUAGUAAUAUGUUAUUGAUUGGAAAGAUUUUAAAAUGUCUUGUAACAAAGAUUUUUGGUUGUUCUUGGUAAGAUGUGAGCUGUUACUUUUUCUCACUUGUUGUAAUGAGGUUGAUGUUAUAACAAAGCUUAGGGGAAUGUAUUUUAGUAGUUCUGUCCCAUUUGUGAAAAACACCAACACACUGUGUUUAAUGGCGAAGCAGUGCACUAUGUUCUGCUGUUGUUUUAAAUCUGUGACAUAAUCUUGCUUCCAGGAUUCCUGCUCCUCUGCUGCCAAUAGAAAAUACUAUAUAUUCCCUAGGACUUUCCUAACUGCUGUUUUCAAGUUGCUAACUAAGAACUUGCACUUGUGUGCUGAUACUGUGCAUUGUGGUAUGUGAUACCCAAAAUGACAGGGGAAUCACCUGUUUCCCCAUGAAACAUUGCCUCUUCUCUUCUUACGCUUUGUGUUUCACUGUAGCUGCCAUUUUCUUGCUGUGAGGCUGGGGGUAAAUCACAAGUGCUCUGUUUGUCCAUGGAUUAUGAACUUAAUGUUCUUUGAGAAUUUAGGGACUUUUUAAACAGAGUGUCUUAUUUCUUUUGCAAAAGUUGCUUUGUCAUUGUCCCAAAGAUGGCGAGAGACUGUUUUUAAUCUUCAGCCUUUUCAGCUCUUCACAAGAAGUAGAUGUGCUGUUAAUAUCACACAGCUCCUUUAAUUACGCAAUUAGCACUGAAACUACAAUGCUAAGAAAUCAGGAAUGGGAAAAAUAAUAGGCUUUCCAGGCCUUAAUGGUCUAUGUGUUACUACAGUAAUCUUUUAGUCUCAUUCCCUUGUGAACUAAUAUCCUCAGUGGUACUGUCAUGUCUAUAACUUUAUUCCCAUCAAUGAAGCUUCACAGCCUAAUAGAUCUGUCCCAGGUAAGCAGUUUUCACUCUGCAGAGCGUAGAUGCUUUGCCUACUCAAUGGUCCGUAUCAGCUAUUAAGUACUGACAAUGGUCUUCCCUGAGCAGCCUUUUAGCAAACAGCUUAUUUCAGUGAGCUUGCCUGGUGCAACAGGAAUGUUGAAGGGUGGGGUUUUUUGGUUGCUGGUUGGAGUUCUUGAUAAUUUAGUAUUCAGUAUCAAUUCAGGCAAUAGUUCUAUCUUUCUGUAAGUGUAUAAAAAUACCUCCUUACUCAACAUGGCUUUUUAAGAAAUUGGCACACAAAAUAUGAGCUGCCUUUAGCAGUUCAUCCUUCUGGUCACAGAACACAUUUAUUAAUCAUUCAAUACAUUUUGCUAUUUUGACAGCUGGGAAAACCUUUGAAGAUGCAUUGUUUCAGAGUUAAUUGGUUUGGCUUGGGUUUUGUUUUUUAGCUUUUUUUUCUUUGUUUUCCAAAGGGAGAAAUGGUGAAAUAUAGGAUUUUCCUUUAUGCAAUGUAUUCUUUGACUUUCUCCAGUCUGCUGUUACUAAGAUGAUUAAUUGCUCAGGCUGGAAGAUAGGACUCUUUACAGAGUCCUGGUUAUCUGAUAGAAGCUAAAUUCAUUGGGAGUGGGGAGAGGAAAAUAUAUUGGUUUUGUCUUACAAAAUAGUUUGUGCAUUUUAGAAAUGAAGUUUGAAGGAACCCCAGCAUUUCUGAGAAAGGCAUGAGAGAAAAAGCAAGGCAGCUCCAUGAAUAAAAUCAUGUUUGUUGUUUAGGAGCUAUUGGACUACCUGCCAAUGGGAAGAGUUAAUUCUAUAUGCACACAGGAGACUUAAUUAUGCAUUUAUAGUAGCACAUUCAUCUGCAAAGUAAGCCUCUGGACUGCUUGCAUGAACCUUAUGCAAAGUCAUUCAGAGUAGCAUGAGGUUGUGUCUUCAGAAUUGUUGUCUCCAGUGAAAGCCAUCUUGGUUUGUCUCACUGGAGAAGUGUACUCAAUGUCACCUUUCUGGGAGGAAGGUUGGAUUGUCAUUCUGUGUACCCAUCUGGCUCCUCAGUCUCCUGAGAAUGGGGUCACUCUGUUUGGAUGUUUGCUAUACACACCUUGUAGAGGUUUCAUGUUCAACAAAUUCUGUUUGCCGAAUUUAGUGUAGUGGUCUUAGUGUUUACUUUCUUUUUGUGGGAGAGGAUCAGGAGGACCAAAGCAGGCUCAAGCUUAAAAAAUAAACAAAUAGUUUUAUUAACACACACUAAAAGAAUGGAAAAGUUGAAAAACAAACAAACAAAAGUAACUUCAAAGCUCUCUUCCCUUUCCUUACAAACUGUUAACUUUCUUACAAACAGAGACACAACUUGUGAUUUUUCAGUCAGUUUCACCAUUUAAACAUGUUUUUUCAUCACUUUGGGACAGGAGUCUCUCUAGAGUCCUAUGGGGACAUUUACCACAAGACAAAAACAGUCUUGUGGCUCCCAAGGUCACAAGUCUUCAACCACCUGGAGUUUUUGCAGAUUGUGCAGUUCCACCCAUUAGCAGCCUUUCCCUUGGCUACUCAUGGGCCUCUCAGUGUAUCUGGGGUACUCUUUAAGAAUGCUUCCUCUAGUACAAAAUGAGGCUUCUCUUCUAUCUCUAAAACUGUCUCUAUCUCAAAAGAAGGAGACCUCCUUUUACCCCAGAAGCCGAGGGCUUCAAACUUUCUCUCUAAAAUCAUCUUUGUCUCAAAGGCUGAGACUUCUUUUUACUCCAGGAAUGAUGGGCUUUAAGAUUUCCACUUAAAUCCCAAUCAUAUCAAUCCCCAACUUUGACUAGAACUGGCAUUUUCCCAAACAACAUUAAGAUGUUACAAGAAAGUCUAUUUCUCCAUAGUUUACACCAGAGAAAUCUGGUUAAAAAUGUCCACAUCCUCAAUCCCUCCUUCCAAUAAUUUUUAUCAGUCCUUUCACUUUUGCUCCGCUGACUCCAUGCGGUGCCUUUUCUAUGUCUCCACUCUCUUUUCUCUCUCAGGGAAGGGUUAGGCCUUGGAAGCUUCAUGUUGCCUGGAAAGGGUUAAAUCUGCCCAGGCCUGCAGUGGCCAGGUGAUUUCUGCCCUGGACAGCAGUCUCUCCCCUGAUGCACCUCAGAUCGGCAUGGGUUUCCUCCCUCUACUCUUUUCUUCUCCAUCUGGGAAUCACCAGAGGAGGGGAGGCGAGGAGCUCUGCCCACCCCUCGGUGACAGUCGGGGCGGCCUCGGCCCAGCCGGGCCCGUGGCUGUUUUCAGGGGCCCGGUGGAGAUCCCUCCCUGCUCAGGGCCCCGGGGAAGUCUGAAAGGAGUUGAUGUCAAGCUGCAUCCCGUCCUCCCCCGCCGGGAGCCGAUCAGGCCUUGGGCCAGCUCCUCCCUCAGAAAGGGCAGAGAGCAGCAGGCCCCACUCGAUGUGACCUGUUCAGCUGGCCAGGAGGAAAAGGGCUGAUGAACAAAAUCAGGAUUUAUACGGGUACUUCCCAAAGUCGCAUUCAACAUUCUCAGGGGUCAAAACAGAUGCCAAUAUCCCAGUCUAGCCUCCAUUACGUCCUUGUCCUUUCCAAAACAAUUCUGAGGUUCUGACAGGACAACACUCCACGUUCCUCCCUAACUAAAAACUGAACUAUGACAACACCUCAGGAGAUAUGCUGGGUGGUGGCAGAGCCUAAGGGAGGAGCUGGGCGAUAGGCUGCUCAGGAUCCAGAGCUGUGUGUGGAUUUUCUCACACAGUACUUAAUAUGGAUCCAAGACCCUGCUGAUCCUGGUGAGAGGGUACAGAUACACCUUGGGAAGGUGACAGCAGGAAAACCUGUUUUCACUUAUUGUGCUUUCUCCUGAGCUCAGAUGCUACCUUGUAUAACGAGGUAUUUGCUGAAGAUUUCCUUUAGUCUGGGGUUGCAUGGACAGCAAAAUCUCUCUAAGAACAUAAUGACUUGUAUGGUAACAGUCAUAAGUAAAGGAUCCAAAGUGAUUUCUGACCUGCUUUGUGGCCUAGAGACAAGAGUCUCUGUUGUAACCUCAGCUGUGCAAAGGAUGGCCUGUGUGGAUCCCUGGCUUUCCCUCUCUGUAUUUCACUGUGUGCCCUUCUGCAGUGAGAAUUGAGCAGAAGGGCUGGACUGGCAUAGGCUGACUUUCAACAGCUGCCUUUUCUGUGACACAGAAAGGAGAGACAUCCAUUUUCUCUUUUAGCAGCUGUGAGAGUGCCCCUUUGGUGGUGCUGACAAAAGUUCAUCUGCAGCCCCAUCUAUGUAGGAAAGUUUCCAUUUGUUUGAUUCUUCUCCAAAGUCAGUCUGAUUUUCUGGUUUUGCUGCAAUAUCUAUAUGCCUCUGAGGAAAGCUACUUUGUCCUAAUGUGCCUCUCUAAGCUCUUGUGACAAUCAAACCUCUUGUUUCUAUGUACCAGUGUUAGAGCUGAUCUAAAUCCAAGUGGCUUGGCUGGCUGUAGAGUUUUUGAUUGGGAUGGGGAAAAUGAGGGAAAAUUUUGUAAGAAAGGAAAAUAUACUUCCUUUUGUCUCUUUAUGUUUCUUUC